GAUUUUAAUGCACAGUUUGACUCAAACCAUGGUGACUCGGAAGUAAGACCCUGCACAUGUUUUCCUUAAAGCAUAAUCAGUGUGGAUUCCUUUAAGAAUCUCUCAUGCUCUAACAUUCCUGCAUGUUAAACCACUACAAAAGAAAAAUGGGGAAUUUGAGAUUAUGACAGACCGGAGAGCAGGGCUGGAACUUGUUUGUACCCCUGUGCAUCAUCCUUUAGUAUUGCCUUUGAAGUUUAUUACACUAUUGUUUUCUUUGCUAUUGUCUGCUUUGAAAGAUUGUUGUCUGAAAACAUCAGAAGAGCAAGCAUACAGCAAAUGUUCCGGGCUAGAAAUCUGGACACCAAGCCUGCCUCUCACACAGACAAGGUAUCUGCAAGCAUCUUCUGCCAGCAACUCAACAGUUACAGAAUCACCAUCUGUGUUUUCGUUAACCUGAAUCAGAUAUGAAUUCUGUUAUUGCAAGGUAGAGCAGCUUGUUUAAUGAUUCUUAAUCUUUUCUUUAAUUAAAUCAUGCAGCCAA
RNAcentral lists this long non-coding RNA (523 nucleotides) under Pogona vitticeps (central bearded dragon). RNAcentral's name for it is "lncRNA (ENSPVIG00000005342.1)". The record is from RNAcentral. Lineage: Eukaryota; Metazoa; Chordata; Lepidosauria; Squamata; Agamidae.